RNAcentral lists this ribosomal RNA (253 nucleotides) under uncultured bacterium. Its description in RNAcentral is "partial 16S ribosomal RNA". It matches the Rfam family "Bacterial small subunit ribosomal RNA", at positions 524 to 776 of the family's 1533-position model. The record is from RNAcentral.
UACGUAGGGACCGAGCGUUGUCCGGAAUCAUUGGGCGUAAAGAGCGUGUAGGCGGCCACUUAAGUCCUGCGUGAAAUCUUGCGGCUCAACCGCAAGCGGUCGUGGGAAACUGGGUGGCUAGAGUGCGGGAGAGGAGAGUGGAAUUCCUGGUGUAGCGGUGGAAUGCGCAGAUAUCAGGAAGAGCACCCGUGGCGAAGGCGGCUCUCUGGAACGCAACUGACGCUGAGACGCGAAAGCGUGGGGAGCAAACAGG